This 364-nucleotide ribosomal RNA is filed under the name Menippidae sp. 3 KYKC-2019. RNAcentral describes it as "partial small subunit ribosomal RNA". The record is from RNAcentral. Lineage: Eukaryota; Metazoa; Arthropoda; Malacostraca; Decapoda; Menippidae.
CUUGAUUAUUAAUAGUUAUGUUCUUUAAAUUUGAAGAAUUUGGCGGUAGUUUAGUCUUGCUAGAGGAACCUGUUUUUUAAACGAUAAUCCACGCAAUAUCUUACUUAUCUUUGUUUUCAGUUUGUAUACCGUCAUUAACAGAUAAUUUUAAAAGAAAAAAUUGUUGUAUAUUAAUAAAUUAAUAAAAUUAGAUCAAGGUGCAGCUUAUAGAGAAGUUAAAAUGGGUUACAAUAAAAUUUAUUUAUAAUGAAUAAAAUAAAGAACAUUAUUUUUGAAAGAGGAUUUAAUUGUAAUAAAAGUUUAAUAUGCUUUUAUGAGAUAAGCUCUAAAUUAUGUACAUAUUGCCCGUCGCUCGCGGGAAAAA